CCUACGGGUGGCAGCAGUGGGGGAUAUUGGACAAUGGGGGGAACCCUGAUCCAGCGACGCCGCGUGAGUGAAGAAGUAUUUCGGUAUGUAAAGCUCUGUCAGCAGGGAAGAAAGAAAUGACGGUACCUGCCCAAGAAGCCCCGGCUAACUACGUGCCAGCAGCCGCGGUAAUACGUAGGGGGCAAGCGUUAUCCGGAUUUACUGGGUGUAAAGGGAGCGUAGACGGCGAUGCAAGCCAGAUGUGAAAGCCCGGGGCUCAACCCCGGGACUGCAUUUGGAACUGUAUAGCUGGAGUGUCGGAGAGGCAGGCGGAAUUCGUAGUGUAGCGGUGAAAUGCGUAGAUAUUAGGAGGAACACCAGUGGCGAAGGCGGCCUGCUGGACGAUGACUGACGUUGAGGCUCGAAAGCGUGGGGAGCAAACAGGAUUAGAUACCCUGGUAGUC
This 443-nucleotide ribosomal RNA is filed under the name uncultured bacterium. RNAcentral describes it as "partial 16S ribosomal RNA". It matches the Rfam family "Bacterial small subunit ribosomal RNA", at positions 338 to 795 of the family's 1533-position model. The record is from RNAcentral.